GAUGAACGCUGGCGGCGUGCCUAAUACAAGCAAGUCGAGCGAACUGAUUAGAAGCUUGCUUCUAUGACGUUAGCGGCGGACGGGUGAGUAACACGUGGGCAACCUGCCUGUAAGACUGGGAUAACUUCGGGAAACCGAAGCUAAUACCGGAUAGGAUCUUCUCCUUCAUGGGAGAUGAUUGAAAGAUGGUUUCGGCUAUCACUUACAGAUGGGCCCGCGGUGCAUUAGCUAGUUGGUGAGGUAACGGCUCACCAAGGCAACGAUGCAUAGCCGACCUGAGAGGGGGAGUGGCCACACUGGGACUGAGACACGGCACAGACUCCUACGGGAGGCAGAAGGAGGGAAUGUUCCGCAAUGGACGAAAGUCUGACGGAGCAACGCCGCGUGAGUGAUUAAGGCUUUCGGGUCGUAAAACUCUGUUGUUAGGGAAGAACAAGUACGAGAGUAACUGCUCGUACCUUGACGGUACCUAACCAGAAAGCCACGGCUAACUACGUGCCAGCAGCCGCGGUAA
This 514-nucleotide ribosomal RNA is filed under the name uncultured bacterium. RNAcentral describes it as "partial 16S ribosomal RNA". It matches the Rfam family "Bacterial small subunit ribosomal RNA", at positions 28 to 523 of the family's 1533-position model. The record is from RNAcentral.